UGGGGAAUAUUGCACAAUGGGCGAAAGCCUGAUGCAGCAACGCCGCGUGAGUGAUGAAGGCCUUCGGGUUGUAAAGCUCUGUCUUUGGGGACGAUAAUGACGGUACCCAAGGAGGAAGCCACGGCUAACUACGUGCCAGCAGCCGCGGUAAUACGUAGGUGGCAGGCGUUGUCCGGAUUUACUGGGCGUAAAGGGUGCGUAGGUGGAUAUUUAAGUCAGAUGUGAAAUACCCGAGCUCAACUUGGGUGCUGCAUUUGAAACUGGAUAUCUAGAGUGCAGGAGAGGUAAGUGGAAUUCCUAGUGUAGCGGUGAAAUGCGUAGAGAUUAGGAAGAACACCAGUGGCGAAGGCGACUUACUGGACUGUAACUGACACUGAGGCAUGAAAGCGUGGGGAGCAAACA
This 402-nucleotide ribosomal RNA is filed under the name uncultured prokaryote. Its description in RNAcentral is "bacterial SSU rRNA". It matches the Rfam family "Bacterial small subunit ribosomal RNA", at positions 355 to 774 of the family's 1533-position model. The record is from RNAcentral.